GACGAACGCUGGCGGCGUGCCUAAUACAUGCAAGUCGAGCGCAGGAAAUCAUCCGAACCUUUCGGGGGGACGUUGAUGGAAUGAGCGGCGGACGGGUGAGUAACACGUAAAGAACCUGCCCUCAGGUCUGGGAUAACCACGAGAAAUCGGGGCUAAUACCGGAUGGGUCAUCGGACCGCAUGGUCCGAGGAUGAAAGGCGCUUCGGCGUCGCCUGGGGAUGGCUUUGCGGUGCAUUAGCUAGUUGGUGGGGUAAUGGCCCACCAAGGCGACGAUGCGUAGCCGACCUGAGAGGGUGAUCGGCCACACUGGGACUGAGACACGGCCCAGACUCCUACGGGAGGCAGCAGUAGGGAAUCUUCCACGAUGGACGAAAGUCUGAUGGAGCAACGCCGCGUGAACGAUGAAGGCCUUCGGGUCGUAAAGUUCUGUUGUAAGGGAAGAACAAGUGCCGCAGGCAAUGGCGGCACCUUGACGGUACCUUGCGAGAAAGCCACGGCUAACUACGUGCCAGCCGCCGCGGUAA
Molecule: ribosomal RNA, 524 nt
Filed under: uncultured bacterium
Lineage: Bacteria
Description: partial 16S ribosomal RNA
Rfam family: Bacterial small subunit ribosomal RNA
Source: RNAcentral